RNAcentral lists this ribosomal RNA (375 nucleotides) under uncultured organism. Its description in RNAcentral is "partial 16S ribosomal RNA". It matches the Rfam family "Bacterial small subunit ribosomal RNA", at positions 527 to 896 of the family's 1533-position model. The record is from RNAcentral.
GUAGGUGGCUAGCGUUGUCCGGGAAUUAUUGGGGCGUAAAGCGCGCGCAGGCGGUUCUUUAAGUCUGAUGUGAAAGCCCACGGGCUCAACCGUGGAGGGUCAUUGGAAACUGGAGAACUUGAGUACAGAAGAGGAAAGCGGAAUUCCACGUGUAGCGGUGAAAUGCGUAGAGAUGUGGAGGAACACCAGUGGCGAAGGCGGCUUUCUGGUCUGUAACUGACGCUGAGGCGCGAAAGCGUGGGGAGCAAACAGGAUUAGAUACCCUGGUAGUCCACGCCGUAAACGAUGAGUGCUAAGUGUUAGGGGGUUUCCGCCCCUUAGUGCUGCAGCUAACGCAUUAAGCACUCCGCCUGGGGAGUACGGCCGCAAAGGCUG